AGCGAACGCUGGCGGCAGGCCUAACACAUGCAAGUCGAACGAAGUCUUCGGACUUAGUGGCGGACGGGUGAGUAACACGUGGGAACGUGCCUUUAGGUUCGGAAUAACUCAGGGAAACUUGUGCUAAUACCGAAUGUGCCCUUCGGGGGAAAGAUUUAUCGCCUUUAGAGCGGCCCGCGUCUGAUUAGCUAGUUGGUGAGGUAAAGGCUCACCAAGGCGACGAUCAGUAGCUGGUCUGAGAGGAUGAUCAGCCACAUUGGGACUGAGACACGGCCCAAACUCCUACGGGAGGCGGCAGUGGGGAGUCUUGCGCAAUGGGCGAAAGCCUGACGAAGCCAUGCCGCGUGAAUGAUGAAGGUCUUAGGAUUGUAAAAUUCUUUCACCGGGGACGAUAAUGACGGUACCCGGAGAAGAAGCCCCGGCUAACUUCGUGCCAGCCGCCGCUGUAA
Molecule: ribosomal RNA, 449 nt
Filed under: uncultured bacterium
Lineage: Bacteria
Description: partial 16S ribosomal RNA
Rfam family: Bacterial small subunit ribosomal RNA
Source: RNAcentral